RNAcentral lists this ribosomal RNA (1472 nucleotides) under uncultured bacterium. RNAcentral's name for it is "bacterial SSU rRNA". It matches the Rfam family "Bacterial small subunit ribosomal RNA". The record is from RNAcentral.
AGAGUUUGAUCAUGGCUCAGGAUGAACGCUGGCGGCGUGCCUAAUACAUGCAAGUCGAAUGGGAUCCACGUUUUCGGAUGUGGUGAGAGUGGCGCACGGGUGAGUAACACGUAGCUGACCUACCCUUCACUGGGGGACAACUUGUCGAAAGACGAGCUAAUACCGCGUAAGCUCACGAGAGUUAGAGGUCUCAUGAGUAAAGCAUUAUAGUAGCGGUGAAGGCGGGGGCUGCGUUCCAUCAGCUAGUUGGUGAGGUAAAGGCUCACCAAGGCGACGACGGAUAGGGGACCUGAGAGGGUGACCCCCCACACUGGAACUGAGACACGGUCCGGACUCCUACGGGAGGCAGCAGUAAGGAAUAUUGCACAAUGGGCGCAAGCCUGAUGCAGCAACGCCGCGUGAAGGAUGAAGGCUUUCGGGUUGUAAACUUCUUUUCUGGGGGACGAGCAAGGAUGGUACCCCAGGAAUAAGUCUCGGCUAACUACGUGCCAGCAGCCGCGGUAAAACGUAGGAGGCGAGCGUUAUCCGGAUUUACUGGGCGUAAAGCGCGGGUAGGCGGUGACUUAAGUCAUGCGUGAAAGCUCCUGGCUCAACUGAGAGAGGUCGUGUGAAACUGGGUCACUAGAGGCAGGUAGAGGCAAACGGAAUUCCGGGUGGAGUGGUGAAAUGCGUAGAGAUCCGGAGGAACACCAGUGGCGAAGGCGGUUUGCUGGCCCUGACCUGACGCUCAGACGCGAAAGCAUGGGGAGCGAACGGGAUUAGAAACCCCGGUAGUCCAUGCCGUAAACGAUGCAUACUAGGUGUUGGGAAUGCACUGCAUUUUCAGUACCGAAGCUAACGCGAUAAGUAUGCCGCCUGGGGAGUACGAUCGCAAGAUUAAAACUCAAAGGAAUUGACGGGGGCCCGCACAAGCAGCGGAGCGUGUGGUUUAAUUCGAGGCUACGCGAAGAACCUUACCUAGGCUUGACAUAUAGGUGGUAGAGAACGGAAACGGGAUCGACCUUCGGGAGCCUAUACAGGAGCUGCAUGGCUGUCGUCAGCUCGUGUCGUGAGAUGUUCGGUUAAGUCCGAAAACGAGCGCAACCCCUGGCGUUAGUUACAAGUGUCUAACGCAACUGCCCGGGGUAACUGGGAGGAAGGUGGGGAUGACGUCAAGUCAGCAUGGCCUUUAUGUCUAGGGCUACACACACGCUACAAUGGUCGGUACAAUAGGCGGCGAAACCGCGAGGUGGAGCGAAUCCUCUAAAGCCGAUCUCAGUUCGGAUUGUAGGCUGCAACUCGCCUGCAUGAAGUUGGAGUUGCUAGUAACCGUAGGUCAGCUACACUACGGUGAAUACGUUCCCGGGCCUUGUACACACCGCCCGUCACGUCAUGAGAGCUGGUCAUGCCUAAAGCCGGUGGGCUAACCGUAAGGAGGCAGCCGUCAAAGGCAGGGCUGGUGACUGGGACGAAGUCGUAACAAGGUAGCCGUA